CUGCUCAAUGAAGAGUUAAAUAGCCGCAGUAUUUUGACUGUGCGAAGGUAGCAUAAUAAUUAGUCUCUUGAUUAGGGACUUGUAUGAAUGAUUGAACAAGAAAAUUUCUGUCUCUUUUUAAUUUGUUUAUGAAUUUAAUUUUUGAGUUAAAAUGCUCAAAUAUUUAUAAAAGACGAGAAGACCCCAUAGAGUUUUAUUUUUAUAUAUUUUUAGUAUAAUUAUUUUACACAAAAAUUAGUUGGGGUGACUAGAAGAUUAAAUAAACUCUUUAAAUUAAAAUCAUUGAUUUAUGAAUGUAAAGUCUAAUUUUUUAAGUUUAAAUUAAAUUACCUUGGGG
This 337-nucleotide ribosomal RNA is filed under the name Lychnuris formosana. RNAcentral's name for it is "partial 16S ribosomal RNA". The stretch from base 1 to 159 matches the Rfam family "Archaeal large subunit ribosomal RNA", at positions 1951 to 2143 of the family's 2987-position model. The record is from RNAcentral. Lineage: Eukaryota; Metazoa; Arthropoda; Insecta; Coleoptera; Lampyridae.